RNAcentral lists this microRNA precursor (78 nucleotides) under Schistosoma bovis. Its description in RNAcentral is "mir-3492 microRNA precursor family". It matches the Rfam family "mir-3492 microRNA precursor family". RNAcentral also lists the same sequence under 1 other name. Lineage: Eukaryota; Metazoa; Platyhelminthes; Trematoda; Strigeidida; Schistosomatidae. The record is from Rfam by way of RNAcentral.
AGCUUUUCGAAUCCGUGCUGAGAUUUCGUCAGACAUCAAUCCAUUAGGGCUGAUCAAACUUCCAAGAUAAGUGAAAUU